Molecule: long non-coding RNA, 1206 nt
Filed under: Homo sapiens (human)
Lineage: Eukaryota; Metazoa; Chordata; Mammalia; Primates; Hominidae
Description: HSALNT0359004
Source: RNAcentral
GUAACUACGCGAGAGCGUGCCUGCAAAUGCCCGCGUGCACAAGAAUGUGGGCCACAGUGGAACGGUACACUGGGGGAAGAAGCCACAGAGGAGGACGUGGAGCCUCAGAGGGAGUAAGUGACCUGCCCAGGCUCCCACAGUGAGCACAUGGUGUCCGGAGGCUUCUGCUCCUGGGAGGAUCAGAAGCUGUUAGGAGGCGCUUCCUGACACCUCCAGAGCUAUGGAGAGCUUCCCGCACCCCUCAGGUAUGCAUGUGCACACACGUGCCACACACUUACACAUGCACACACACAUGGGCAAGCAAACAGGCACGAGCUGCCGGGCCACAGAGCUAUCCCACUGUCGGGCAGGGACCAGCCAAGCAGCUGUUGAACCCAGCAGUGUCUGCUGAGUGAGGACCCCAAGACGGCUCCCUCAGAGAGAAGCAGGGGGCAGUUUCUCUCCAAAACCUGAGGCGUGGCCCAGCGCAGGCCGGUUCUUGGGUCAUGUCCGUUUCCUCUUCUUGCCCUCUAAAUUCCUCUGCACGACUCACACCAUUUCCUUGACCAAUUCACUGGUUUCCUUGAGUCCCUCUAGGCCAAGGUCUCCCUAGAGGUUUCUCCCUAGGUUCCUCCUCCUGCGUGCCCUGACUGUGCUUUCCCAUGGCUUCUCACGCUUCCCUCCUCCGCGGGUCCCCCUCCCACUCUCCCUCCAGUGUCACGUCCUGCCUGGACCCUGCCCUGCACACUGUCUCUGUAAUCCUCAUGCUUGGGGAUGGCCAAGGGCAGAGGAGCUGAUGGCUGUGCACCACGGCCGGGCCAGGCACUUUCACCAGCCUCGGCUCCUGUCAUCAUCCAUCUUUGCAUCUACCCUGAGGGAGGCGUCAUUGUCCCCAUUUUCCAGACAAGAUGCUCCCACUCAUGAAGUGACUUGCUCCGGUGCACAGCACUCAGUAAGUGGCUCAUCUGUGGGGCAACGCACAUCCGUGAACUUACUGCAUCAUCACAGUGACUCCACGAAGCACAGCUCUGUUUUGCGGAAAGAAAAGUGAGCUCAAGGAGGAGAAAUGACGUGCCCAGUCCUUCAGCUGGCAGGUGGGAGAGCCAGGGGGCUGUGUGGCCCUGCAGCCUGGGUUCCCUUCUCCACCUGCCUGUCUCAGCCACUGAGCCAGGCAGGGGGGCAGAUGGAGAGGGACACUGGGGGUGGGUGUCAGGGGUGUUUGAGGGA